RNAcentral lists this long non-coding RNA (211 nucleotides) under Gossypium raimondii (Peruvian cotton). RNAcentral's name for it is "long non-coding RNA (GRAI_LNC006399)". Lineage: Eukaryota; Viridiplantae; Streptophyta; Magnoliopsida; Malvales; Malvaceae. The record is from RNAcentral.
CCGGGGAUAACAUUUUUUCGAUGUUUAUUUUUGUUUAUUUUUAUUUCAUAAUAUUUAGUUGCUUUUAACUUGUAUUCUUUUUGUCAUUAUUUUAAAAUUUUAUUUUAGGUGUUGUAUAACCCGAAGCAAUUUGGAGUUUAUUGCCUAUUUUGAUCCAGAAAUUGAAAGAACUAUUCGGAGGAGACUACGAGAACAAAGGAAUAUGGCUUUG